UUUCCUUCUAAGUUAGCAGCAUAGGACCCUUAUGUAACAUUCAAAAUAUUAAAUAGGAAGGAAAUCGCAAAAAAAGAAAUGAAAUCACAAUUUGGAAAUGAAAUCAUCGUAAAAAGGAAAAAUGACGGUAGAAAUAUCUCAAAUAAGUCUCGUGGGCCAAUCUCCUUAGUGCCACAGGAAGUCAGCCGUCCUAACUAUUUCUCGUUGUCGACCUCCUUCUCGUUAUUGUCG
Molecule: long non-coding RNA, 231 nt
Filed under: Cicer arietinum (chickpea)
Lineage: Eukaryota; Viridiplantae; Streptophyta; Magnoliopsida; Fabales; Fabaceae
Description: long non-coding RNA (CARI_LNC003216)
Source: RNAcentral